UCAUGUGAAGACACAGGAAGAAGGGCGCCAUCUACAAGCCAAGGAGACUCAAAAUUUAACACCAAUCCUGUGAACGCCUCCAUCCGGGACUUCUGGCCUCCAGAGCAGUGAGAAGACGAAAGUCCUGUUGUUCAAGCCACCCGGUCCACUGUACUCUCAUACGGCAGCUCUGGCUAAGUAGCAUAUCCCGCCUGGAUAGGAUGAGGUUCGUAGUAGGCUGCAUGUAGCAGAAAACUGAGUUUCUUUUAAAGUGGCGUGAACAAGAUAGAGGGCUUUGUUGUUAAUUGUUUCGUUUUUCUUUCGCAGAAGCAGUUGGAAAGGUCAGUGUCUAGGGCUGGUAUUGUAGCUCCCGGUCAUUGGGCACCAGCCUCUUUCUUCUCCUCCUCCAUCAUACUGGCUGGUGGUUUCUGUCCUCAAGUUCACGACAAGUGCUGAGGCGGCUCCUGGAGCACCUGAUGAAAGACGACUUUCAUCAGGGGAAGGAGGAAGGAAGGAGGGUCAAAAGGAGCACACUUUUCUAUGGACUUAGCUUCCUUUAAGUGGCCUACUUGGAUAGCCACACACUUGUGCUCGCAUCUCAUUGGCUGGAGCCUAGCACCCCCGAAGGAGGCUGGGAGACUGUCUUCUGGCCGGAUAUACGUUGUCACCCCCAAAUAAGAGUGGGAUUCUGUGAUCAAGGAAAAAGAGGGAGUGGCUGUUGAGGAGGCAGCUACCUAACAGCGUGUGCAGCCCCUUGACCGCGAUGUAAAUUCUCUCCCGCACAAGAGGUGGUGGAUCUUGCACAUACGCAUGCGUGCAUCCGUAUGUAUACGACGUUUUCUGUUGACGUUGGGCAGAAACAAGAAAAAGAGGGUUUUUUCCUUUUCUUUUCUGAAAUCGUAGGGGAAAUGUCAUAAGCUUUCUCUCCAGGGCUCCACCCAGUGGCUCCCAGCCCUGUCCUGGUGCGGUCAUGCUAAAAAACAUGAACAGCUGCAGUCGGUCAUGUGCUCUGCUGGGAGGGGUCACCCUGCUCAUUUACUUUGCCGGCUGCCAAGCUAAGGGCUACUGACUUUCAUCGAAGGAACAAAUCAAUUUGGUUUAUAAUCCACUGACGUGAAAACAUCUGGAUUGACUGCACUGUCACCAAUUUGGUGUUUGGAAGUUGAUCCAGUUCAGCUCUGGGAGAAUUUGUUUUCUAAGGGCCUAGUGUUAACCCAAAACCAGAUGAGGCGUUGAUGGAAAGAUCCCUGCGCUAAAGAGCUUGCAAUCAGGCAGAAGAGAAACAACUCGCACCAACGGGACUCAUCGAUGAGACACUCACCUGGUUGAACUGGGAGCCAUGGCCAAGAGCCACUGAAAAGGAGUCUGGAGACAGGAAUGCUCGCUCAGAUGGGAUGAGACGGGGGUCUGACCAGCAAUUCGAGAUUUCCCGAAGAGAAUGUGAUUGGCCCAGGCUGGGGUGAGAGGCCAUUCCUGGUCACCAUCAUUCUUGGGGAACAGAAGGACUCAUAUCUAAAUAGAACAAUUAAAACGUGUGUUUGCCAAGCUCCAUGAAAAUAAGUUCAAAGGCAAAAAGUAAAUUAGACUCCAACAUAGCAUAGUCAAAAAUAUCUUACAACUCAGUAAGAAAAAGAGGAACACCCCAACUGGAAAAUGGGAAAGGACAUGAACAAUACUGUUAUUUAUGCAAAAUAAAUAAAUGGCCAGUUUAUACAUGAACAAAAAGUGCCGAAUCUCUCUAGGUAUCAAAGAAAUGCAAAUUCAAACACGAUAUAAUGUUUUACCUAUCAUAUGGGCCGGAAUAAAAAUAGAAUGUACCCUGUUCACAAUGCUUAGGAAAUAAGCAGUCUCAUUUGCUUAGGGGAAGGGGAGGGGGCUUUUCUACAAGAAAUUUACGCGAAAGGUAUGAAAACCCUAAAAUGUACAUGAUCUCUGAUUAGCAGUUCUGCUUUUAAGAACUGAAUCUGAGGAAACAGACAAGGAAAAUACUAGUGCCGAUCAUAAUACAGAGCACUUACGAUGUGGCGGCAACUCUCCCGAGCGCUUUACGUGUAUUUCUUCAUGUACCUCUUGUAAUAAUCCUAUGUAACUCUUUGUUAUCGUUUAGUUUUUGGGAGAGAGACAGAGACACAGUAUG
This is a long non-coding RNA of Hyaena hyaena (striped hyena), 2116 nucleotides long. RefSeq lists it as uncharacterized. NCBI's taxonomy places the organism in Eukaryota, Metazoa, Chordata, Mammalia, Carnivora, Hyaenidae. The transcript has 4 exons. The record is from RefSeq and is a predicted model, not a curated record.